UCAGAGGACGUUAUCAAAAUCUACUGGAUUUGUCCAGCUAUGGGAAGAGGUUGAUGAUCCCAGGUCAAUUUUCCGUGGCACCUACCAGGGUAUGGGGAACCAGAAACUGAAGAAAAGAGUGUGACAGGAACACUAGAUAAAAAGAGAGAUGAACAAAGAGCGUCUGCAGCAAUUGCCACAGCAAUAACAGAAAAGCCAGAACACAGUGCAGUGACCCCACUGUGAUGAGAGAAAAGGACAGACAACCUACGAUGGUAAACACAAGG
This is a long non-coding RNA of Leopardus geoffroyi (Geoffroy's cat), 266 nucleotides long. RefSeq lists it as uncharacterized. Lineage: Eukaryota; Metazoa; Chordata; Mammalia; Carnivora; Felidae. The transcript is spliced from 3 exons. The record is from RefSeq and is a predicted model, not a curated record.